Molecule: long non-coding RNA, 756 nt
Organism: Salvia splendens (bonfire salvia)
Lineage: Eukaryota; Viridiplantae; Streptophyta; Magnoliopsida; Lamiales; Lamiaceae
Exons: 2
Source: RefSeq, a predicted model, not a curated record
ACUUUGCAAAGUAAAUAAAUUUAACAAUGUAUGCAUCCUAAGUGUGUGCUCAAUUUAUCCUUCGCUCAUAUAUAAUAAAACAUAUUUAUCAAUUACCCACUUUAAAACUAUUAUACACUAAAACUAAUUGACCCCAUAAAAUAAUAUAAGUAAUAGUGCUCAAACAAUUAAAAUUAGAGAAAGAAAAAGGGUCAGCAGCAACGUAUACACUCCGUACCCAAACUAAUUUCUCUUCCUCUAUCACAACAAACAAGAAUGGCCCACUAAAUUAAAAGAAGACAAGUAAAGUAUACUCCUUCUCACCACCAUCGUUUAUCUCUCAUAAAUCUCAAAAAAAAAUUUAAAGCAGCUCCAACAUCACAAUUCGUCUAUCCCUCAUCUCUAACGCCCUUGUCUCAAUUUUCAUCUCAUAUUCCCGAAUCAGAAGCAACAAGCUCAUCUCCCUUUCUAUCUACUACCUUAAGAAUUAAGGAACACACCCAUUGCUACUGUCACUGCCCCUCCGUCGCCGCUGAGCUCCAACCAGCUCAGCCUCCGUCGCCGGCGACGCUACUUCUCACAACCGGCAGUCCCGGAAUAUUUAAUAUUGGAAUUGGAAAGAAAUCAAAAGGGAAACUUCUAUCGGUAUUAAAGAUUGAAGUUUUAGGAGGAGGGUAUUAUUCAACAAAUUGCAGAAAUUCAAUUGGUGGACUACCGUAAAUGUAUAUGCCAUGGAAGAUUUCAUAAAAUAAAAGAGGAUAUACCUUCAAUUGGAUA